RNAcentral lists this ribosomal RNA (315 nucleotides) under uncultured eukaryote. Its description in RNAcentral is "partial 18S ribosomal RNA". It matches the Rfam family "Eukaryotic small subunit ribosomal RNA", at positions 1470 to 1796 of the family's 1831-position model. The record is from RNAcentral.
CCCUUAGAUGCUCUGGGCCGCACGCGCGCUACACUGGUCGAUGCAACGAGUUUCUUUCCUUGGCCGACAGGCCUGGGCAAUCUUUGAACAUCGAUCGUGAUCGGGAUAGAUUCUUGUAAUUUUUGAUCUUAAACGAGGAAUUCCUAGUAAACGCAAGUCAUCAGCUUGCAUUGAUUACGUCCCUGCCCUUUGUACACACCGCCCGUCGCACCUACCGAUUGAAUGGUCCGGUGAAGCCUCCGGAUUGGCGCGCACCUCGGUGCCGCCGAGAAGUUGGCUAAACCUCACCAUUUAGAGGAAGGUGAANUCGUANCA